Molecule: small RNA, 181 nt
Filed under: Atopostipes suicloacalis DSM 15692
Lineage: Bacteria; Bacillati; Bacillota; Bacilli; Lactobacillales; Carnobacteriaceae
Description: Listeria sRNA rli28
Rfam family: Listeria sRNA rli28 (bases 35-181)
Source: Rfam by way of RNAcentral
UUUUAAAUGAACAGAAAAACAUCCUUAUAGAGCAGGGAAGUUGGAGGCUAAAUCUCAAAAAAUGAGGUGAUGCCUAUGUUUGAUUUGGCUGAUCCAGAUAAGGAGUAAGCAUGUCAGUAUAUGAAGCAUUAAUGCUGAUGUUCGCGUUUGCGACAUUGGUUUUAUGCAUCAUAAAUAUUGA